GAUGAACGCUGGCGGCGUGCCUAAUACAUGCAAGUCGAGCGAACGGACGAGAAGCUUGUUUCUCUGAUGUUAGCGGCGGACGGGUGAGUAACACGUGGAUAACCUACCUAUAAGACUGGGAUAACUUCGGGAAACCGGAGCUAAUACCGGAUAAUAUUUUGAACCGCAUGGUUCAAAAGUGAAAGACGGUCUUGCUGUCACUUAUAGAUGGAUCCGCGCUGCAUUAGCUAGUUGGUAAGGUAACGGCUUAUCAAGGCAACGAUGCAUAGCCGACCUGAGAGAGUGAUCGGCGACACUGGAACGGAAACACGGACCAGACUCCUACGGUAGGCAGCAGUAGCGAAUCGGCCGCAGUGGUCGAAAGCCUGACGGAGUAGGGCCACGUGAGAGAUGGAGGUCUUCGGAUCGUAAAACUCUGUUAUUAGGUAAAAACAUAUGUGUAAGGAACUGUGCACAGCGUGACGGUAACGAAUCAGAAAGCAACGGCUAACUACGUG
This 497-nucleotide ribosomal RNA is filed under the name uncultured bacterium. Its description in RNAcentral is "partial 16S ribosomal RNA". It matches the Rfam family "Bacterial small subunit ribosomal RNA", at positions 28 to 507 of the family's 1533-position model. The record is from RNAcentral.